UGGGGAAUCUUCCGCAAUGGGGCGCAAGCCUGACAGAGCAACGCCGCGUGAGUGAAGAAGGUCUUCGGAUCGUAAAGCUCUGUUGAGAGGGAAGAAAAUGACGGUACCUGACUAAGAAGCCCCGGCUAACUACGUGCCAGCAGCCGCGGUAAUACGUAGGGGGCAAGCGUUAUCCGGAUUUACUGGGUGUAAAGGGAGCGCAGGCGGUCCUGCAAGUCUGAUGUGAAAGCCCGGGGCUCAACCCCGGGACUGCAUUGGAAACUGUGGGACUUGAGUGUCGGAGGGGCAAGUGGAAUUCCUAGUGUAGCGGUGAAAUGCGUAGAUAUUAGGAGGAACACCAGUGGCGAAGGCGGCUUGCUGGACGACAACUGACGCUGAGGCUCGAAAGCGUGGGGAGCAAACAGGAUUAGAUACCCUGGUAGU
This 423-nucleotide ribosomal RNA is filed under the name uncultured Lachnospiraceae bacterium. RNAcentral describes it as "bacterial SSU rRNA". It matches the Rfam family "Bacterial small subunit ribosomal RNA", at positions 355 to 794 of the family's 1533-position model. Lineage: Bacteria; Bacillati; Bacillota; Clostridia; Lachnospirales; Lachnospiraceae. The record is from RNAcentral.